Molecule: ribosomal RNA, 1005 nt
Filed under: Salmonella enterica
Lineage: Bacteria; Pseudomonadati; Pseudomonadota; Gammaproteobacteria; Enterobacterales; Enterobacteriaceae
Description: partial 23S ribosomal RNA
Rfam family: Bacterial large subunit ribosomal RNA
Source: RNAcentral
GUCGGCCUGCGCGGAAGAUGUAACGGGGCUAAACCAUGCACCGAAGCUGCGGCAGCGACACUAUGUGUUGUUGGGUAGGGGAGCGUUCUGUAAGCCUGUGAAGGUGUGUCGUGAGGCAUGCUGGAGGUAUCAGAAGUGCGAAUGCUGACAUAAGUAACGAUAAAGCGGGUGAAAAGCCCGCUCGCCGGAAGACCAAGGGUUCCUGUCCAACGUUAAUCGGGGCAGGGUGAGUCGACCCCUAAGGCGAGGCCGAAAGGCGUAGUCGAUGGGAAACGGGUUAAUAUUCCCGUACUUGGUGUUACUGCGAAGGGGGGACGGAGAAGGCUAUGUUGGCCGGGCGACGGUUGUCCCGGUUUAAGCGUGUAGGUGUGUGUUCCAGGUAAAUCCGGUUCACUUUAACACUGAGGCGUGACGACGAGGCACUACGGUGCUGAAGCAACAAAUGCCCUGCUUCCAGGAAAAGCCUCUAAGCAUCAGGUAACAUCAAAUCGUACCCCAAACCGACACAGGUGGUCAGGUAGAGAAUACCAAGGCGCUUGAGAGAACUCGGGUGAAGGAACUAGGCAAAAUGGUGCCGUAACUUCGGGAGAAGGCACGCUGACACGUAGGUGAAGUGAUUUACUCAUGGAGCUGAAGUCAGUCGAAGAUACCAGCUGGCUGCAACUGUUUAUUAAAAACACAGCACUGUGCAAACACGAAAGUGGACGUAUACGGUGUGACGCCUGCCCGGUGCCGGAAGGUUAAUUGAUGGGGUCAGCGCAAGCGAAGCUCCUGAUCGAAGCCCCGGUAAACGGCGGCCGUAACUAUAACGGUCCUAAGGUAGCGAAAUUCCUUGUCGGGUAAGUUCCGACCUGCACGAAUGGCGUAAUGAUGGCCAGGCUGUCUCCACCCGAGACUCAGUGAAAUUGAACUCGCUGUGAAGAUGCAGUGUACCCGCGGCAAGACGGAAAGACCCCGUGAACCUUUACUAUAGCUUGACACUGAACAUUGAGCCUUGAUGUGUAG